UACAGAGGUCUCGAGCGUUAGGCGGAAUCACUGGGCUUAAAGCGUGUGUAGGUGGAUGCCUAAGUACCUUGUGAAAUCCCACGGCUUAACCGUGGAACUGCUUGGUAUACUGGGUGUCUUGAGUCACUCAGGGGCGAGCGGAACAAAUGGUGGAGCGGUGAAAUGCGUAGAUAUCAUUUGGAACGCCAAUGGUGAAAACAGCUCGCUGGGGGUGUACUGACACUGUGACACGAAAGCCAGGGGAGCGAACGGG
Molecule: ribosomal RNA, 253 nt
Filed under: uncultured bacterium
Lineage: Bacteria
Description: partial 16S ribosomal RNA
Rfam family: Bacterial small subunit ribosomal RNA
Source: RNAcentral